GAACGCUGGCGGCGUGCCUAAUACAUGCAAGUCGAACGCUUCUUUCCUCCCGAGUGCUUGCACUCAAUUGGAAAGAGGAGUGGCGGACGGGUGAGUAACACGUGGGUAACCUACCCAUCAGAGGGGGAUAACACUUGGAAACAGGUGCUAAUACCGCAUAACAGUUUAUGCCGCAUGGCAUAAGAGUGAAAGGCGCUUUCGGGUGUCGCUGAUGGAUGGACCCGCGGUGCAUUAGCUAGUUGGUGAGGUAACGGCUCACCAAGGCCACGAUGCAUAGCCGACCUGAGAGGGUGAUCGGCCACACUGGGACUGAGACACGGCCCAGACUCCUACGGGAGGCAGCAGUAGGGAAUCUUCGGCAAUGGACGAAAGUCUGACCGAGCAACGCCGCGUGAGUGAAGAAGGUUUUCGGAUCGUAAAACUCUGUUGUUAGAGAAGAACAAGGACGUUAGUAACUGAACGUCCCCUGACGGUAUCUAACCAGGAAGCCACGGCUAACUACGUGCCAGCAGCCGCGGUAAUACGUAGGUGGCAAGCGUUGUCCGGAUUUAUUGGGCGUAAAGCGAGCGCAGGCGGUUUCUUAAGUCUGAUGUGAAAGCCCCCGGCUCAACCGGGGAGGGUCAUUGGAAACUGGGAGACUUGAGUGCAGAAGAGGAGAGUGGAAUUCCAUGUGUAGCGGUGAAAUGCGUAGAUAUAUGGAGGAACACCAGUGGCGAAGGCGGCUCUCUGGUCUGUAACUGACGCCGAGGCUCGAAAGCGUGGGGAGCAAACAGGAUUAGAUACCCUGGUAGUCCACGCUGUAAACGAUGAGUGAUAAGUGUUGGAGGGUUUCCACCUUUCAGUGCUGCAGCAAACGCAUUAAGCACUCCGCCUGGGGAGUACGACCGCAAGGUUGAAACUCAAAGGAAUUGACGGGGGCCCGCACAAGCGGUGGAGCAUGUGGUUUAAUUCGAAGCAACGCGAAGAACCUUACCAGGUCUUGACAUCCUUUGACCACUCUAGAGAUAGAGCUUUCCCUUCGGGGACAAAGUGACAGGUGGUGCAUGGUAGUCGUCAGCUCGUGUCGUGAGAUGUUGGGUUAAGUCCCGCAACGAGCGCAACCCUUAUUGUUAGUUGCCAUCAUUUAGUUGGGCACUCUAGCGAGACUGCCGGUGACAAACCGGAGGAAGGUGGGGAUGACGUCAAAUCAUCAUGCCCCUUAUGACCUGGGCUACACACGUGCUACAAUGGGAAGUACAACGAGUCGCUAGACCGCGAGGUCAUGCAAAUCUCUUAAAGCUUCUCUCAGUUCGGAUUGCAGGCUGCAACUCGCCUGCAUGAAGCCGGAAUCGCUAGUAAUCGCGGAUCAGCACGCCGCGGUGAAUACGUUCCCGGGCUUUGUACACACCGCCCGUCACACCACGAGAGUUUGUAACACCCGAAGUCGGUGAGGUAACCUUUUUGGAGCCAGCCGCUUAAGGUGGGAUAGAUGAUUGGGGUGAAG
RNAcentral lists this ribosomal RNA (1483 nucleotides) under uncultured organism. Its description in RNAcentral is "SSU rRNA". It matches the Rfam family "Bacterial small subunit ribosomal RNA". The record is from RNAcentral.